This is a long non-coding RNA of Hemicordylus capensis (graceful crag lizard), 677 nucleotides long. RefSeq lists it as uncharacterized. NCBI's taxonomy places the organism in Eukaryota, Metazoa, Chordata, Lepidosauria, Squamata, Cordylidae. The transcript has 2 exons. The record is from RefSeq and is a predicted model, not a curated record.
GAGAGCACGCACACUAGCAUCUCUCCCUUCCGGACAAAUCCAGGAUUGGAGAAUAGCGCUUUUCAGGCUACCGCUUUUUGCCAGCUGUGGGCUGGUGGUAGUUGGGCGGAAGGAACCCGCGGGCAGGGGAGCCCAAAUCUCCUCCUGCUCUUCUAGUCUACUCCACUCCACGCUCCUUGCCUUCGUUGCUAGGUUUUGUACCUAAGCUCCCUCACCCCGCUUAAUAAACACCGCCGAGUUGCUAGGCAACCAGCAGGGCGAAGCAGCGCGCUUUAUCCAACUGCUCCCGCAUGACAUCAUUUACCCUCCUUGGAGAGCUAUAAAUAGACAGGACUAUUGCGCCGGCGCAAAGGGCUUCUGCGGUCAACGAUGAGUCAUAGCGGCAGAAGGGAAAGAAAGCGUUUGCAGCCCCGCCCCCUUAUGAGUCAUUACCAGCGGCGGAACUAGUCGCGCGGAGAUGAAGGUACCGCCUCCCUGUCAAGGACGGAGGGGGUGACGCCAUCCGCUUCCCGGAAUGUCGAUGACGCGCCUGCGUUAAGGAGGGACGGAGAAAGCCUGGAAUGUUCAUUGGAGUAGCGAACCCUUAAAGGGAUUACGACCCUUUCCUUGCUUUUUGAUGCUCGGAGCAGAAGGAAGCAAUAGUUAAAAGCAUAUGAAUUAAAGCUGGAUUCCAAGUA